UCAGAUUACCAUUGAAGUCUCCAGAGGGGGAUAGCAUAUUACAGACCUUGAAUAGAUGGCCUUCUGGGUGGAAACAUUAUUAUGGUGUUUUUGAUCCUACAUUGUUUUUAUACAGUGGUGGUUUUAAAAUGACAAUUUCAAUGCUUAAAACUGAUGAAAAAUACACAGAUGCAUAAUUGGGGUUUAAAGAUAGAUAGCAAUCUGAGAUACAGUUUUUGCUUGCAACUUCUGUCCUUGGUAGGGUCCUAGUUGAACUUUCUGCCUCACAUUUCCUCUAGGACUGAUACAUUGUGUUUAACAGGCAUUCAAAGUGGAAUUCAUGUUUGUGAAAAACUGGGAAUAGCCAAGACAAAGUUUCCUACAAGUACUGGCUUUUGGCAGGGGCAUCAGAACUGUCUUGCAUGUGGAUCUUUAAGGAGACACCUGAGGGGUAUAGUUUUUUUAACAAGGAUGAGAAGAGAGAGAUUUAUUACCAAAUGUAGUCCCUCAUCUGGGUCUGAAAGUGAAUGUAUCACGCAGGAUGACAGUGUUGGCAGUGGUGUGAGUGCCAUGAAUUUUUGAACUUUGUUCAUUUUAUGUGGACAAGUAUCUGUAUCACUUACCUACAGUUAAAAAACUGGUUAGAAGAGACAUCAAGGAUUAAACAAUGAGCACACAGCAUUUCAUUUCUACAGAUGAUAUUUUCAGCUCAAAAUCAAUAUAUUUCAGUGGGUCAUAGGAUUGAAAAAGGGUAAUCUGUUGCCAUGGCCAUAUUAUGUCUCCAGUAAACACAAGCUGCACUUGGAUUUGCAGCAUGCACAACUGUUGGAAUUUUUUUUUAGUAGUACUUGAUUUCCAAUGUUGCUGGUGAUUUGUAAAACCCAACCCCCACUUUAUAUGCAUAUCCUACUAAGCCUUUUAUUGGUUUGCAUAAUAAGAUCUGGAGCUCCCCAUUGCAAUCAUUUCUGAGAACUCUAAACUGGGAAUGGCAACAAAAAGAGGAAUUCUGAGUUUUAACAGGCUACGCACCUGUCAAUCCAUAGUAGGUAAAAGUGAAAAAUCCCUGUAUCAAGUACUAGAAAUUUGUGGUACCAUUUGUAUUGUUUCCUGUUUGUAAGGGAAACUGAGCAGACCUUCUCAUAAAGAGCAGCCUACAUCUGCAUGGCACAUUAAAUUUGAAGUCUAUAGACUCAACUAGUUAAUAUGCCAGGUACUGUUUGGCUUUAGAUUCUGUUUGUCUUCUAUUGCUACAUUUGCCUGGAGUGUUUUGUUGUUGAGAAAUUUGGGACUUUAUUCCCUGAAGCAGGCCAGGUUUCUGAUGCCCAAGGUUUAUUUGAGAAGCAAGGAGUGUAUAGCUGUUACACAGUGUGGUAACCCAAAAUGCCUGACUGACUCAGGCAUUUCGAGGCUGAGUUGUGUUUUGCAGCUGCCUUGUAUUUGCAAGUUUCUGCCCUUCUCAUAGAAACUAUACCCAACGUGUGCAAUUGCAGAUGAGCAACACAUCAAUCAGAAUCUGCGCUUAGUUGGUUAUUUAUUAUGACACUUAAUGUUACCAAUUCCAUCCCUUUCUCUCAACCUGCUGUUCUCUGGCUCCCUUGUUUCUUGCAAGCUUUGCAGAGCAGGGUGAUCAGCUCGAGGUGCCUUAUGUUAGGCCUGCAGGAAUCCUUACUGUAGGAACUGACAGUGAGAGCCAGCUGGCAAAGCCCAAGUCUGAACCAUGGAUCCCCCAGCACCUGUUUCAUGUGUAGCAUGCCAGGAGGGAGGAGGAUUACAUAAAUACCUGCUUCUAGAGUUGCCUGAAUACAUCACUUUAACAUAUGCUGAAGGUGUAUGCACAGGAUAGGACUGAGGAUGUCUGCCCCAGCCCCUUCAGUCCCACUGCUUUCCCUCCCAUGAUUACAUCUGAAAGAAAAACAGUUACUGAGCAGAAAUUCUUUACUGAGGGUGGUGAGGCACUGGAAUAGGUUGCCUAGAGAAGCUGAGGAUGCUCCAUCCCUGUGAAUGUCUAAGAGCAUCUUGGAUGGGGCUCUGACAACCCUGGCCUUGUGAAAGGCAUCCUUGCCCAUAGCAAGAGAGUUAAAAUUAGAUGAUCUUUAAGGUCCCCUCCAACCCAGGCUACUCUAUGGUUCUGUGAUAUGAUGAUUCUGUGUGCUGUGCAUUGGCUUCAACAAAAAUCACCUCACCCCGCACACCUGUGCCAUGCUGUUAAAGCACUUUUCUGCCCUUUUGGGUAGAGGAGGGAAAACUGAAUUCCUGGGUAAGUGCUAAAUAGUGUAUGGACUCAGAGGGCUACCAUGACCCCUGCAAGGAGAUGGAGUAGGUGCCUAAGGAAAGGCUGAGGAUCUGGAAUUCCACACAAGGUAUCUUGCCUCACCCCAUCAUUACAAUGAACUCGGCAGUUGAUGAGGUGUUUUGAGAGAUCUGUUGGCGUGCCUGGAUGGUUCUUAUAGAGAUCUUAACAGAAUGGACAAUGAAGAUUACAUUCUUAAGUAUUCUAAUUUUUGCCUUCAGUAUGCACUGGGGCAGGGUGUCUUAAACUGGGGCUUUGGACUUAGGCGAAGACACACUGCAGUGCUCAGCACUGCAGCAGACAGGCCCUUUAUUGAAUCUGGCCUCACUGCAAUAAGUGUGAGUAAUGGUAAGAGAGGCAUAAGAGCAGAAUGACUGUACAGGAGGGAGGGCUGCUCUUGAGUUGCUAGAGUGAAAAACAUAUUUGUAAAGGGAUAAAAUUAGUGCUGGGUACAAAAAUGCCAUUUAAUGAAACAAAUGACUACACUGCUCAGUGGCAGGAAAAAACAUGACACCUUACAGAUAAUCAUCAGUCCCCCUUCUCUGUCUCAGGGUUGCUGCAGAGCAGCAUUUCUGGCAGCACUGGGCAGGCUGGGAUGAGAAUUGGAUCCCAGUGCUGAGGCCUCCUGAGUGCUGAGACCCCCAAGCCACAGGUCUCACUGUGGGGACAGUGAGUGACUGUCUUGGGUUCUCACCUGUGGGCUUGUAGUGAGAACAGUUUUCCUCAGGUACCAAGAGCAGGGCAGGAGGGAGACAUGGGAACGCGGUCUCGCUGAGAUGUGUAUUGCUUGUGAGGUACUUGUGGCAGCAAUGUCACAGAAAAACUUCAUAAUAAAAAUCGAAUGUUUUUUCUUAUUGGGUGCUCUUUUGUCCCCUGCUCCUUGUGUUUUAUUGCUCCUGUGCUAUAUUUCUGCUUUCAUUGUCUCCUUUUUGAUGUAGUUCUACGUCCUUAUUUUUGUUCCCUAUUGUUGCAUUUUUAGUCAUGCAUGUCACUACUCCUUUAGCUUUCUUAAAGACUUCUCUCUCAUCUCUGUUGUGAUCUGCUGUACAGCUUGGCCACGGUCCAUAUGAUGGAGCAAUGUAGCCAAGCUGUGGGUUGACCGCCCUUGCAUCACUGCCCUGACCCAGAUUGCAUCUGCAGUCAUCUGGAACUGACUACACGCCUGAACUGAUGAAAGAGGCUGUGGAAAUACGGAUCUCUGGGGCCUUGGCAAGAUGCUUGUGCCAUAUCCACCUGUCCUCUGGAAGACAAAAGAGUGAGUAUCAGCAGUGUGUCAUUUAUUCUGCAAAAACUGAACAGAUGAAAACUGCCUUGACAGCCAGUAGAAGAAAAUAGUGUGAUAUGGCCACAGCAAGCACAUGUUCUGUCAAACAAUUGCACAAUGAUCCCAACGAGGAGUGGCACUCAACUUCCCUGUGAUUACCUCCGUUCUUUAAUUUUGCUGUAACAAUAUAGUUUCUUUCCAACACACAAGUGUUUAUGCAAAAAUGCCAAGAUUCUCUAUGCAGGUUAAAAUAGGUUUAGAAAUUAAGGAAAGGCUGGUAUGGAACAAGAGGAAAAUUAUCCCAGUAUUUUGCACCUUUUUGUAAUCAAAGUCCUGUCUUUGGAGGGUGUUAUGUCAACUACACACUUGGUAAAGCCUAUAACGAUUUUCCUUGUGUAAUGACUGCAGGAGUUAGCCCUAGCAUAUCACACUAGUCCCAAGGUGGUGUCCAGUAAGCAGUAGCUGGGCUCACUUGGGAAAAAUGCAGGAAGAAAACUUGGUGAGAGCUGGAUCCUCUGCAGUGUCACCUCUCAUGAGUGAUUGACAAAAUAAAAUAAAAAAAUUAACUAAUUCACCAUGGGGAUGGAAGGAUGGAUGCUUCCUGUUGUGGAAUAGGACAAAGUCCUGUGACAUGUUCCUUUCUAUUAGGUCUGAUACCACUACUUUUGAUUAAUUUUUAAAAAUCAACUGUAAAGCUAUAGGUCAGCCAAUAAGACAGUGACUUGACUAAUUUUUCGUUGCACAGUGUAUGAUAGUUUCAUGUCUUUACCUGACAUCAGUGCAGACAGUGUGUUUUGAAUCCAAUGAAAUUUGAAUCCCACUAUGAAUUUGUUUUCUACAAGUAGGUUAUUAACAGAAGCCUUUGAUUUCUAUUAAUUAUGUAUUUUUGAGUGAAAAGCUAUUUUGUGUAUAUGUAUUUAAUAACAGGAAAUGUAGCAAGCAUUUUUAUUAAACUAAUAAAAGGAAUAAAUCUA
Cinclus cinclus is the source of this 4507-nucleotide long non-coding RNA. RefSeq lists it as uncharacterized. The record is from RefSeq and is a predicted model, not a curated record. Lineage: Eukaryota; Metazoa; Chordata; Aves; Passeriformes; Cinclidae. The transcript is spliced from 2 exons.